CCAAAGGCUCUUUUCAGAGCCAUCACCUCUUCAUAUGAGAGCCUAG
This is a regulatory RNA element of Neotoma lepida (desert woodrat), 46 nucleotides long. It matches the Rfam family "Histone 3' UTR stem-loop". From Rfam's summary of the family: The mRNAs of metazoan histone genes lack a poly-A tail. 3' end processing occurs at a site between a highly conserved stem-loop (modelled by this family) and a purine rich region around 20 nts downstream (the histone downstream element, or HDE). The stem-loop is bound by a 31 kDa stem-loop binding protein (SLBP - also termed the histone hairpin binding protein, or HBP). Lineage: Eukaryota; Metazoa; Chordata; Mammalia; Rodentia; Cricetidae. The record is from Rfam.